GCACUCUCUUCGGCAGCACAUAUACUAAAAAAAUGGAAUGAUACAGAAAAGAUUAGCAUGGACCCUGUGCAAAUAUGACAUGCAAAUCUGUGAAGCCUUCCAUAUAAAA
Molecule: small nuclear RNA, 109 nt
Filed under: Cricetulus griseus (Chinese hamster)
Lineage: Eukaryota; Metazoa; Chordata; Mammalia; Rodentia; Cricetidae
Source: RNAcentral